Long non-coding RNA from Cyprinus carpio (common carp), 1054 nucleotides. NCBI's taxonomy places the organism in Eukaryota, Metazoa, Chordata, Actinopteri, Cypriniformes, Cyprinidae. The record is from Ensembl.
AUGAUGGAACAUCAACACAUAUAUGAGAUUCCCUCUCAGGAUUCUGGCAGGGAAACUGUGGCAGUUGAAAUGAACAAUUUCUCAGAGGCAGAUAAUGGAGUGGUUUCACCUGAAGUCGUCUAUGUGAGGGCAAGAAGCAAGAUGAAUGAGGGAGACAUGGUGAAGGCUCAGAAGUACAGUCGAUGUGCAUGUAGGACAAACACAGUGGCCGUGAUUGUGACCGGUGCAGCUCUAACUGUGUUCCUAGGCUUCUAUUGUGGUGGAGUCUUUAAUAAUGGUGUUAUCUUACAUACUUUACCUGCGGCUUCCUCAGCAAGUUCCUCUGACACGUCUUUUUCCUCUUUUGAACUGUCUUUUGACAUUGAAAGGCAAAAAUCAAAACCCCGAAAUUAUUAUGAUCAAGGUAGACACAACUCUUAUCCAUCUGGAAGCAACAUUAAUAGAAGCCCUCAGAGACCCUCAUACAGUGGAGGAAGAUGGAAAGGGUGAGGACAGAAAUACAAGUGAUACUGUGAGGUAAAAAUGAUCAUCGCAGUUUUACUGAAAUGUCAUAAUAAUGCCAUAAGUUUAGUUUGAUUAGCAGAAUUUGGAUUAGAAACCUUUUCUAAAAUUAUAUUAGAGUCAUCAGGGUCACAUCAUUUGCUUCUGAUAUCACUUGCUGAGAAGACAUAAGGAUAUAGCAAUUUCUUGAUUGUAUCGUCUUCUAUUUAUGUUUGAAUGAACAUGUAAUUAGCUUUAAGAACGUAUUUUAGUGGUUUCUAUGCUUUGUAGUUACAUAAUGUAAAUGGAUCUUAUGAAACUAUACAUGCAUAUUCACUUAAUUUUUUUUUUUUUAGAGGCAAUAAUUAAACGCAGGUGUUUCCUGAGGGUCACACAUCAGUAAAUAUGGCUCUUUUUUUGUAUACACUCCCUUGGCUCCAUAUAUGUCUGUUGCAUCAAUGAUAGUAUAGUUUUUAAUGUUUUUACUAGUCUUGCUAAUGAAUUGCUUUGGUAAAACAGAAUGUGAAUGAGAAUGGGUCAACAAAUAAACAAUUCAAUCAUGACCUUAUAAGCA